Molecule: ribosomal RNA, 253 nt
Filed under: uncultured bacterium
Lineage: Bacteria
Description: partial 16S ribosomal RNA
Rfam family: Bacterial small subunit ribosomal RNA
Source: RNAcentral
UACAGAGGUCCCAAGCGUUGUUCGGAUUCACUGGGCGUAAAGGGUGCGUAGGUGGUGAGGUAAGUCGGAUGUGAAAUCUCCGAGCUCAACUCGGAAAUGGCAUUGGAAACUACCUUGCUCGAGGGUUGGAGGGGGGACUGGAAUACUUGGUGUAGCAGUGAAAUGCGUAGAUAUCAAGUGGAACACCAGUGGCGAAGGCGAGUCUCUGGACAAUUCCUGACGCUGAGGCACGAAAGCCAGGGGAGCAAACGGG